Molecule: ribosomal RNA, 75 nt
Filed under: uncultured Pseudomonadota bacterium
Lineage: Bacteria; Pseudomonadati; Pseudomonadota
Description: uncultured proteobacterium partial 16S ribosomal RNA
Source: RNAcentral
CAGCCUUGACAUGUCGGGGCGCCCGAAGAGAUUUGGGCUUGCCGCAAGGAACCCGAGCACAGGUGCUGCAUGGCU